RNAcentral lists this long non-coding RNA (1120 nucleotides) under Mytilus galloprovincialis (Mediterranean mussel). The record is from RNAcentral. Lineage: Eukaryota; Metazoa; Mollusca; Bivalvia; Mytilida; Mytilidae.
GUUUUUUUCUCCAUUUAUCAUGUUUAUAACUUUUUUUUUAUUUUGUGUAUUUAUAGGUCAGAUAUCUUGGUUUUUAUGAUCAUCGUCAGGUCCUGCAAGUCUAUACUGAAGAGGAAACUUAUUUGUUAAUACUUUUCUACAUAAUGUGCUAAUUGGAUUAAUUAAUGUGAAAUGAACUCAAUUGUGUGUUUUUCUGGAAAAAGAAAUAGAAAAAAUUCUACAAAAUUGCUAUAAACAAAAUGGAGUACUAUCAAAGAUGCACAAGGACACAAUGGUGUAAAAUGUAACAACCUACAUAUUCACUGAUGGAUUAUGGAGAAAUUAAGAAAAAAAAUAGUAUCUUUGUCAUGUUUGUUGUCGAAAUAAACACAUGCGUUAUCCAUUCAUGUACAUAAUAUUAUGUACAUGGCUCUCCAUCAUAUCAAAUAUACAGAGAAGAUGUUUGAAGAACAAGUUGCCAAAAUUUAUUCAACCAAUUGAAGGAAGAUGUCUUGUGAAUGGAAUUAUUUAUGCACUGAACUGUUAUGUAGGGGGUAGAAUAAUUAUACACAGCAGCUGAAACAGAAGACAAGUUAAUUUGACAUGAAAAGUGUUUAUUUUAUAUAAUCUUUUGUAUCAACAUGAUCAAUAAUUCAGUCUAGGAGAAAAAUAUAUUUAUACUGUUUGUCAAUGUUUGUACUGUUAUGAAAUUUUUAUAGAGGAAAAACAUUUCCUUAAGGGAAAUUUGAUGUUCAGAAAUUUCCUUAGAGGAAAUUUGAAGAACAAUGAUUUCCUUAGAGGAAAUUUCCUCAAAGGAAAAUUUGAAGCGGCAAAUUUCCUCAAAAGAAAAAGAAUUUCCUCAAAGGAAAUAAUUAUGCAGCAAAUUCCCUAAGGGAAAUCUUUUUCCCUUGAGGAAAACUCUUUUUCCUCUGAGGAAAUUGUUGAAAAAAGGGGCAUUACUUUUUCAACAGUGGUGCUAGAGCCAAACAUUUUUAGGACAAAUAUCAGAGAACCAAUACCAAUCAAGUUAUCAACUUCAUUUUGACUUAACUCCAAAAAUUAAGGUGACAACUUUUGCACUCAGCGGAAUUGCAAACUUGUCCCGGAUACUGUUAAUAUUCUUAUACAAGACCUGUUUAUU